GAUGAACGCUGGCGGCGUGCCUAAUACAUGCAAGUCGAGCGAACAGACGAGGAGCUUGCUCCUCUGACGUUAGCGGCGGACGGGUGAGUAACACGUGGAUAACCUGCCUAUAAGACUGGGAUAACUUCGGGAAACCGGAGCUAAUACCGGAUAAUAUAUUGAACCGCAUGGUUCAAUAGUGAAAGACGGUUUUGCUGUCACUUAUAGAUGGAUCCGCGCCGCAUUAGCUAGUUGGUAAGGUAACGGCUUACCAAGGCGACGAUGCGUAGCCGACCUGAGAGGGUGAGCGGCCACACAGGAAAGGAGACGCGCUCAAGCCUCCGAGGGGGGGCAGCAGGGGGGAUUCUCCCGCAGGGGGGAAAAGCGUGAGGGAGCACCGCGGGGGGGGGAAAGAGGUUCUUCGGAUGAAAAACCUUUUUUAUUGGGAAAAAAAAAUUGUUAAAGAAACUUGGCACGUUUGGGGGUUACAAAACAAAAAACCCCCGCUAAACUCC
Molecule: ribosomal RNA, 494 nt
Filed under: uncultured bacterium
Lineage: Bacteria
Description: partial 16S ribosomal RNA
Rfam family: Bacterial small subunit ribosomal RNA
Source: RNAcentral